GUUGAUGUAGCUUAACAAUAAAGCAAAGCACUGAAAAUGCUUAGAUGGAUUUCUUAAUCCCAUAAACA
RNAcentral lists this transfer RNA (68 nucleotides) under Stenocephalemys albipes (White-footed Stenocephalemys). Its description in RNAcentral is "tRNA-Phe". It matches the Rfam family "tRNA". Rfam says of the family: Transfer RNA (tRNA) molecules are approximately 80 nucleotides in length. Their secondary structure includes four short double-helical elements and three loops (D, anti-codon, and T loops). The record is from RNAcentral. Lineage: Eukaryota; Metazoa; Chordata; Mammalia; Rodentia; Muridae.